RNAcentral lists this long non-coding RNA (2715 nucleotides) under Pollicipes pollicipes. Its description in RNAcentral is "uncharacterized LOC119101441". The record is from RNAcentral. Lineage: Eukaryota; Metazoa; Arthropoda; Thecostraca; Pollicipedomorpha; Pollicipedidae.
CACAGAAACCAGCGAGUUCAGCCAUGAAAGUCCUGGUGGUCAUGUGCGUUGUCCUGGCCGUUGCGGCUGCCGGCCACCACUCGCACACCGCUGGCGAGCCGAAGAACCAGGGACAGCCGGACGCGCUCCAAUACUGGAUGAAUUUGCUUUCCCCCUACGCCAGAUAUACUAGUGCUUUCUUGAGAAACAUCCCUGGCUUCGCCCCGGGCGGUGACCACCAUCAAGCCUACGGUCAAAACGCCAAUUACGACGCCAGCGUCCUCUUCACUCCUGUUGUUGGCUCGUUUAGCUACUUGGACCUCCGUGGUGUGAACCGGACGGUCAAUUUCUCUGCGGACAGGUCUGGCUUCCACAUAACUGUGGACCCCCACACGGAGGUGACCACCAGCUAUGAAAACAACCACGACUAGCGCGGCGCUCUCUGAGCAAGCCCGCCUGUAAGACGGGGCCGCUCUGGGUAAUGGUAAAGUACCUGCCCUGCCAAGUACCUGCCCUUCGGUGUCCACUGCUUCCGGCGCUCCCGUCACGUUCCAGGGCACGCACGGCCCGGAGGGCGUAUUUUACUCGUAGCGCUCUAUUCACCCCGACCCUUUCCUUACCUUCGCCUGUUUUGGUAAGCGUUCUGUGCGCUGCUCACUUGCGGGCAAAUGCGAAAUUUGCAUCUCUGACUCGCUCCCAAACGUUCUGGUUGUGUUCAUUUGCCGUUACACCAGAGGCCAAGAGUGUUUGGUGCAUUCUCUCAGCUUGAUGCCAUGGUCCGUAUUUACAGCUUACCGAGCUCGGUUGGAACGAGUGGUAUAAAGAUGUGGAUCAUUUUUGACGCCAUACAAAAUAUACUAGGCAGCAGUAGCAUGGUUUAAUUACUGGAGGGUUUGGGUGGGGUAUGAGUGGGGAUAGGGGUGCGGGGCAAGGGUCGAAGAAACGCGUCCUAAGUUUCGCAUGAUAGGGUUGUGUCUCCUACAUUUUUGCCCGUGCACUGCAUAUUUUCACCUACUCCCACUCAAGAUACCGUUUUUGGAUCAGGCUGUCCCCGGAUUCCAGUUUGACCGUCCAGUCUCAGAGAGAUGGCCGCAUCCAUGCUCGAGAGCGCUGUAAUACCGCUUGUAUAAACACUGAAAGCAUUUUCACUGCACAUCGCAAACAGCUGUUUAGCAUCUACAUAUGGUGUCAAAACGAAUGGUCUUUUCGAAAUCACUUUCGGAAAUAUCUGGUGGAGGGCUCACCGUUGGACGUCAAACGCUUCCGUAGAUAUCCGGCUAUGAAACUCCUCGAGCGAAGAGCUCCCAGCAUCGAACGGAAAUUAGAUCAUGCGCUUUUCACAAAACGGCAUACAUCGAAUUCACCUGUGGAGUGAACGACUUCACGAGUUCACUCCAAUAAGGAGUGAACGACGGCCAAAAAGAGCUAAUUGUGAUAUGGAGAGACGCGAGCGUGCAAAGCACGGAGUCUGUCACUCGCGCAAAAGUGGGAUGAGCUUGUGACGCAUACCAUUUCAGUGCCCAACACGGGAUGGGUGCGACACGAUCUCGACCCGACACCAAGUGACUGUGGUCAGGCCACAUGUCGGUGCAGUUCUGACAUAGCAGUACUGGUCGCGGCACCGUAACGGCAUCCACCAGCCUGAACACGCACGUUUUGGAUGGAUGUCGGGAGAAAAACACCACUACAGCUCUAUGUACAGACAACUCCACUGCAAGGCCGGUCAUGACAAGACAGGGAGAUCGCUGCCGGCGAGAAACGAACGAAAGACGUCCAACAGGGCCGAGCGCUGUAUUCCAAGCAUCCCACAGUCUGACAGCGUUCGUGACAGGGAAUGUGACAUGUGACAACGUGACAUGGCUUUAUCCGGCGAUGACGCAUUGAGGAGUAGAUGCAUUCAUUGCAACAGAGCAGAUGCCUUCCUUAAUAUCUGAAAGUGUAGAAUAGUCUCUUCAGUACUGGAAAUGCAGUAUCUCUAUAUAACAAGAAAAACUGAAGAGUAUGGUUAGAACACAGGCCUGCAUCUCACCAAUCGGAGGGAUAUGGAUACAUUCACGGUAUCAACACACUUUAACGUAGAAAACGGACGGCCAUUUGGACAAUUGGAGGCCGGCGUGUUCAAUCGAUCAAGCUAACUCUGGCAUAACGAUCUACCAGUUAUGGAGCGUUUGGUGAAGAAUAUCGCUAACCAGUGUCUCUGGUUAGCGAGGUGCUACAUAUUCUACCUUUCUUCACAUUCUAUUCCCGUAACUAAGGGUUCGCCAAAUGUACUAGCUGCAAUCGGAAAUGAGGUGCGAUCGCGUGCCAGGGAAAUAAUGUGGUUAUUGGCCAAUGACAAGCAAGUACGACAUCAUACGAUGAGCGAAUAAACCAAUCACACACAGCGAGAUCGCGUUUCGAUCCGGGAACUCUCUGAUGCAACAGACGGCUGGUGAGGCACAGAGGGCUUCUUUUUAAAGGAAGCGUCAUAUCACACUAAGGAUGGUAUGCAUAGUUUAGGUUCCGACGGAACAGAUGGCGCAUGGUGGAUGAUCUGCUACCCAGGAGGGUUAGAUACCUCCUACUGCCUAUAUCCUGUCCUAAGACUUUCGAGCAUUCUAGAGAUUGUAUGCCUGACGACAUGUGGAGGUUGGAGAAAAUUACGGGGAUGGUACUGCUGUGAAACAGAUAUUGUUACACCUUGGAUAAUUAUGACCACCACUUGUAGACAUUGUACAAUAUACCGGUCGAGCUUCA